CUGCUCGCGUGCGCAAUUGCGCACUGCUGACACGGUCUCCGCGCACAGAAAAUCUGCGCUGCGCACAAAACAAAAAUCCAACCUGAAUUGUAAAUAAAAUAAACACGUAACAAUUCAUUCUGUGCUAUUUUUCAGUGUGAGUCAGUGAGUGACCGGUGACUGGCUGCUGCAGCCAAUGAUGCGAUUCACAUACGUAUUUACCAUAGACUGUAUAUAAUGGUAUUUACGCAGCUAAUCAACGUCAGGCGUCCUUAUGUGGAGCCACCAUUGUUGUCAUAGAUAUGAAUGAGUAGAUAGGACACGCCCCUUUGAGCUGCGUGCUACAGCGAGGCUAAGCUAGUGGGGGCAAAGUUUCAGUGCAUUCCCUUGAUGUAGACGGCGUGAAAACGGAAACAAUAAGUAUGCCGGCUCACUGUGCUGCAUACAAUUGCACACUACAUCAUACGAUUGAGACAAGGAAACUUGGAAUGACUUUUCAUAGGUUUCCCAGAGACUAUGGGUUGAGGAGGAAUUGGAAGUUUGUCGGCUUAGACCUGGUGUCAUUCCAUCAGUGUUAAACUUCCCGGCUCAUCUUGGAAGAGUACGUGCCAGAAAGACCACAACCAAGCAGCCUUGAGAUCUUAGACAGCGUCUCCCUCAGGUCCCUCUCUGUCUCCCCACACAUCCACCAACCACUGGAACACAUCUCCAAAGUUCUGCCGGGCCAGCUCAGCUUCCCCUCAGAAGAAGUGGUGCCACCUGCCAGAUGAAGGAGCCUUUUGAGAGGCAGCUGGCAUCGUGAUUGGACUGUACUUUGGUCUGUUCCAAUCCAGCUUCAGCUCCAGA
This is a long non-coding RNA of Amphiprion ocellaris (clown anemonefish), 825 nucleotides long. RefSeq lists it as uncharacterized. The transcript has 3 exons. NCBI's taxonomy places the organism in Eukaryota, Metazoa, Chordata, Actinopteri, Pomacentridae. The record is from RefSeq and is a predicted model, not a curated record.